AGUGAACGCUGGCGGUAGGCCUAACACAUGCAAGUCGAACGGCAGCACAGUAAGAGCUUGCUCUUACGGGUGGCGAGUGGCGGACGGGUGAGGAAUACAUCGGAAUCUACUUUUUCGUGGGGGAUAACGUAGGGAAACUUACGCUAAUACCGCAUACGACCUACGGGUGAAAGCAGGGGAUCUUCGGACCUUGCGCGUUUGAAUGAGCCGAUGUCGGAUUAGCUAGUUGGCGGGGUAAAGGCCCACCAAGGCGACGAUCCGUAGCUGGUCUGAGAGGAUGAUCAGCCACACUGGAACUGAGACACGGUCCAGACUCCUACGGGAGGCAGCAGUGGGGAAUAUUGGACAAUGGGCGCAAGCCUGAUCCAGCCAUACCGCGUGGGUGAAGAAGGCCUUCGGGUUGUAAAGCCCUUUUGUUGGGAAAGAAAAGCAGCAGGUUAAUACCCCGCUGUCCUGACGGUACCCAAAGAAUAAGCACCGGCUAACUUCGUG
RNAcentral lists this ribosomal RNA (492 nucleotides) under uncultured bacterium. Its description in RNAcentral is "partial 16S ribosomal RNA". It matches the Rfam family "Bacterial small subunit ribosomal RNA", at positions 29 to 507 of the family's 1533-position model. The record is from RNAcentral.